AUGCUCACUUUGGCAGCACCUACACUAAAAUUGGAACAAUGCAAAGAAGAUUAGCAGAAUCUUGAGAAGGGAUGACACACAAAUUAAAAGUAUUAUGGUUUC
This is a small nuclear RNA of Oryctolagus cuniculus (rabbit), 102 nucleotides long. Lineage: Eukaryota; Metazoa; Chordata; Mammalia; Lagomorpha; Leporidae. The record is from Ensembl.